RNAcentral lists this ribosomal RNA (500 nucleotides) under uncultured bacterium. RNAcentral's name for it is "bacterial SSU rRNA". It matches the Rfam family "Bacterial small subunit ribosomal RNA", at positions 8 to 502 of the family's 1533-position model. The record is from RNAcentral.
AGAGUUUGAUCCUGGCUCAGAUUGAACGCUGGCGGUAUGCUUAACACAUGCAAGUCGAACGGUAACAGCAGAGCUUGCUCUGGCUGACGAGUGGCGGACGGGUGCGUAACGCGUGGGAAUUUACCUUGUAGUGGGGGAUAGCCCGGAGAAAUCCGGAUUAAUACCGCAUAAUCUCUACGGAGCAAAGUGGGGGAUCUUCGGACCUCACGCUAUUAGAUGAGCCCGCGUUAGAUUAGCUUGUUGGUGGGGUAAUGGCUCACCAAGGCAACGAUCUAUAGCUGGUUUGAGAGGAUGAUCAGCCACACUGGGACUGAGACACGGCCCAGACUCCUACGGGAGGCAGCAGUGGGGAAUAUUGGACAAUGGGCGCAAGCCUGAUCCAGCAAUGCCGCGUGUGUGAAGAAGGCCUGAGGGUUGUAAAGCACUUUCGGUAGCGAGGAAAAGCUGCGUGUUAAUAGCACGUAGCUGUGACGUUAACUACAGAAGAAGCACCGCUAACU